This 3321-nucleotide ribosomal RNA is filed under the name Phacus applanatus. RNAcentral's name for it is "partial large subunit ribosomal RNA". It matches the Rfam family "Eukaryotic large subunit ribosomal RNA", at positions 33 to 2421 of the family's 3401-position model. Lineage: Eukaryota; Euglenozoa; Euglenophyceae; Euglenales; Phacaceae. The record is from RNAcentral.
UUUAAGCAUAUCACUCAGUGGAGGAAUCCCAAGCAACCGCGAUUGCUUCAGUAACGGCGAGUGAACUGGCAAAGCACAUGGCUCAACCUGAAGGAGACCAUACCCCCGUCACUGCCUCGGCAGGGAGCGGUCGGCUACUGUGGGUCUCAGAGGCUGUGGGUUCUGGAGCGGAUGGUGGUCCUGUGGGCUGGUUGUGAUGCCUGGAAUGGCCCUGGAAUGGCUCACAACAGAGGGAUACUGUCCCGUACACCAGCAGUGUGUCAUGACCGCCCACGGUCUGCCGUCUGUAUCCACGAGUAGAGCGGCUUGGGACUGCAGUUUGAAGCGUGGGGUGUAUCCCCCACAAGGAGAAAUACCACCGUGGGACCGAUAGUGCACAAGUAGAGUGAUUGAAGGAUGCAAAGAACUUUGCAAAGAGGGUUAAAAGUCCCUGAAGCCUCGGCAGGAACGGCGGUGUGCGGUGCUGUGGUGGAUACGGGCAGUGGUCCCAGUGCUGGUGGCUAUGACUCCGGUCCGGCCGUCACAGUGUGGAACCCUCUGUGUGAAGACAACCCGUGUGUCCCAAGCGGCCUUGGGCCAGCCCGGUGCCGGCCACUGAGCCCUCCCCCUUGGGGGUGGAUGCAGUCGUGGCGGUGACGCGGUGGCAAGCAAGCCUGCCAGGGCCUGAGGCUAUGUUUGAGGAGCGCUAUUGCAGCUGUGGGCAAUCCGUUUCCCCCCUCGGGGCAGUUGUGUUGCAGAGGCAAACCAUGGAGCGGUCGUAUACGGUGCUGGAACCUGGUGUGUCUCCGGGCAUGCCAGUCGCUGUUGCCCAGUCACGGCGGGGCUGGCGCUGACUCGGGGACUGCACCACCCGUUGGUGGUCCUCUGUCUGUGCCUGGCUCCCCGGAUGGUGCACAGUGCAGAUCAAGGCAGCCGAGCUUGGUGCAGCAGUGCCGCUCUCUGCCCGUCUUGAAACACGGACCAAGGAGUCUAUGGAGCUUGCAGGUUGGCUGGUGUGAUCAUGGAAAACCGGCAAGGCCUGGUGAAAGCAAUGUCACAGACCAGACGGUGUGCACACGGAUGGCGGUGGGGAUGUGGGACCCUCCGGACUCUGAGCCACGGGUGUGUGGGCAUGUGUGGCGUCCUCUCUGAUGAGGAGGGACUGUGGCUGUGACCCGCCCCGGCAAGGGCCUGAGUCUGUGGAGACCCUGUCCCUCCGCUGCUGUGUUGUACCUCUGCAUGGGCCACCGGCCCCGAUGUCCAGUGGACUGGGUUUUGAGUGAAUGCAAGGUCCAUGGGACCCGAAAGGUGGUGAACUAUACCGUUCCACGACGAAGCCAUGGGAAACUGUGGUGGAGGUCGGUCGCUGUUCUGACGUGCAAAUUGUGUAGCCUGAGUGCGGCAUAGGGGUGAAAGGCCAAUCGAGCCACCUAGUAGCUGGUUUCCCUCGAAGUUUCCCUCAGGAUAGCUGGGCUCGGAAUGCAACCCUGCCGAGUGGUUCCGUCCGGUAAAGCAACGCAUGAGAGGCAUCAGUGGGGAGUCUCUGCUCCUCAACCUAUUCUCGAACUGUGAAUGGGCGUGGCAAACCCAAAACAAAGGCAUGCUUCUUCACCUGUGCUGGAGUCCGGGUCACACCGGUCCUCCUGGCCCUUCUGAGCGUGUUUGUGGUGGCUUGUCUGCACAACCCCGGGGCACGGUGUGGGACCGGCGGUGUGUCUCCUCCGUGGAGCUGCCUGCCUCGGGACCCCGUGGACCCUCUGUCCCUCUGGUGAUUGGUGAGACGAGAUGUGCAGCUGCUGCUGUGGUGAACAAGUGUGCCUAUGUGGGCCAAGAUUGGUAAGCAGUGCUGGCGAUGCGGGGUGCUCCGAGAGUGGACUUACAGAUCCCGAGUGCUGGCUCAUACUCAGAUCCCACAAAGGGUGUCGCCUGCUAUGGAUAGCAGGUCGGUGGCCAUGAAGGUUGGAACCCGCUAAGGAAUGUGUAACAACUCACCUGCCGAAGUGCGCAGCCCCGAAAAUGGAUGGUGCCCAAGUCAGUGAAGCUGAAUUUGCCUUACAGUCCGCCGCCACUGUGGCAGCACUGAGCAGAGCAUUGUUGUGUAGAAAGGACAUGGGAGCCUGCAGCGCCUGCCGGGGGCAACCCCGGCUGGAGUGGCUUCUGGCGCAGAUCUUGGUUGUAGUAGCAAGUACUCCAUCUGACGAGGGGCGGAAAACCCGCCGUGUGUGGUUGAGGACUGGAGUGGAGCAGGUUUCCACACCAAACAGCCGUUGAAUGUGGGUCAACCGACCGUGAGCCAAGUGGUAAAUCACUGAACAACCAAAGCUGCCGUUCCCCCCGGGGACAACCACACAGCCCAGCCGCUGUGGCCCCGGGGUCUGGUCUGGCGGGAGUGGCAAACAGGCAAGCAUGUGCAACAUUCUGCUGUGACGGGCUUGGAGCCUCAUCUGAAGGGUGGCGACGCCACGUGAUCGGAGCAAGCAGGCUGCGGGGCAGUGCACCCCCCGGGGAGUUCUCGUUUCCUCCUGAUGCAGACUCAUGUGGGCUAUCGAUUGGCAUGACAGAUGGUGACCUAUGCCCUCCGUUCAGCAAGGCAGUACACCUCGUGUGUGCUGGUGGUGUGCAUGAAUGGAACACUGGUCCCGUCUGGGUAACCGGAAUGCUCUCUCUCUGGUGGUCACUGACUCCACUGAACCGCCUGUGGGGACACCGUGCUCCUGGUCCCUGGUUCUCGUACUGAAUCACCGCAGCCGGUCUCCCCGGCUAGACGCCGCUGGUCGACGGAUUGAAUGCAGCUAAGGGAAGUCGGCAAACUAGCCGUGUACCUUCGGAAGAUGCGGUGGCUCCAGAGACCAAGUCACUGGGCCUUUCUGUGGAUGGAUGUUCUCAACCGGGGAUGGCUGCCCCUUCUGGUGGCCCUCGGGCUCUGGUCUGGGGAUCCCAGCUGCCCCCGGUGAGCUCCGUGUUGUGGGAAGGGGCCGCUGUGCCCUCGGGUGCGGUGGUCCACCCCAGUGUCUACCAAGUGGUCCACAUGGAACUGUUGCUGUGCAGGGGAAUCUGACUGUUUAAUUGAAACCCAGCUUUGUGACGGGACCAGCUGGCUGAUCCCAUGAGGUGACUUCUGCCCAGUGCUCUGAUUGUCAAUGCAAAGAGAUUUAGCCAAGCGCGGGUAAACGGCGGGAGUAACUAUGACUCUCUUAAGGUAGCCAAAUGCCUCGUCAACCAAUUAUUGACGCGCAUGAAUGGAUCAACGAGAUUCCUGCUGUCCCUAGGUGCUGUCCGGUGAACCAACAGCCAAGGGAACGGGCUUGGAUGUGUCAGCGGGGAAAGAAGACCCUGUUGAGA